Camelus ferus (Wild Bactrian camel) is the source of this 72-nucleotide transfer RNA. It matches the Rfam family "tRNA". From Rfam's summary of the family: Transfer RNA (tRNA) molecules are approximately 80 nucleotides in length. Their secondary structure includes four short double-helical elements and three loops (D, anti-codon, and T loops). NCBI's taxonomy places the organism in Eukaryota, Metazoa, Chordata, Mammalia, Artiodactyla, Camelidae. The record is from Rfam.
GAUGGUAAAGCUCAGAGGUAUAGCACAUGCUUAGCAUGCAUGAGGUCCUGGGUUCAAUCCCCAGUGCCUCCA